This 400-nucleotide ribosomal RNA is filed under the name uncultured bacterium. RNAcentral's name for it is "bacterial SSU rRNA". It matches the Rfam family "Bacterial small subunit ribosomal RNA", at positions 358 to 774 of the family's 1533-position model. The record is from RNAcentral.
GGAAUUUUGCGCAAUGGAGGAAACUCUGACGCAGUGACGACGCGUAUAGGAAGAAGGUUUUCGGAUUGUAAACUAUUGUCGAUGAGGCAGAAUAAUGACAGUACUAAUCAAGAAAGCUCCGGCUAACUACGUGCCAGCAGCCGCGGUAAUACGUAGGGAGCAAGCGUUAUCCGGAAUUAUUGGGUGUAAAGGGUGCGUAGACGGGAAAACAAGUCAGCUGUGAAAUCCCUCGGCUUAACUGAGGAACUGCAACUGAAACUAUUUUUCUUGAGUGCAGGAGAGGAAAGUGGAAUUCCUAGUGUAGCGGUGAAAUGCGUAGAUAUUAGGAGGAACACCAGUGGCGAAGGCGACUUUCUGGACUGUAACUGACGUUGAGGCACGAAAGUGUGGGGAGCAAACA